RNAcentral lists this unclassified non-coding RNA (350 nucleotides) under soil metagenome. Its description in RNAcentral is "partial contains 5.8S ribosomal RNA, internal transcribed spacer 2, and large subunit ribosomal RNA". The stretch from base 1 to 120 matches the Rfam family "5.8S ribosomal RNA", at positions 35 to 154 of the family's 154-position model. The record is from RNAcentral.
GAUGAAGAACGUAGCGAAAUGCGAUAAGUAGUGUGAAUUGCAGAAUUCAGUGAAUCAUCGAAUCUUUGAACGCACAUUGCGCCCCUUGGUAUUCCAUGGGGCAUGCCUGUUCGAGCGUCAUUGCUGCCCUUCAAGCCCGGCUUGUGUGUUGGGUCGUCGUCCCCCCCGGGGGACGGGCCCGAAAGGCAGCGGCGGCACCGCGUCCGGUCCUCGAGCGUAUGGGGCUUUGUCACCCGCUCGAUUAGGGCCGGCCGGGCGCCAGCCGGCGUCUCCAACCUUCUAUUUUACCAGGUUGACCUCGGAUCAGGUAGGGAUACCCGCUGAACUUAAGCAUAUCAAUAAGCGGAGGA